RNAcentral lists this ribosomal RNA (253 nucleotides) under uncultured bacterium. RNAcentral describes it as "partial 16S ribosomal RNA". It matches the Rfam family "Bacterial small subunit ribosomal RNA", at positions 524 to 776 of the family's 1533-position model. The record is from RNAcentral.
UACGAAGGGUGCAAGCGUUACUCGGAAUUACUGGGCGUAAAGCGUGCGUAGGUGGUGCGUUAAGUCUGUCGUGAAAGCCCCGGGCUCAACCUGGGAACCGCGCUUGAGACUGGCACGCUCGAGUUCGGGAGAGGAUGGUGGAAUUCCCAGUGUAGAGGUGAAAUUCGUAGAUAUUGGGAAGAACACCGAUGGCGAAGGCAGCCAUCUGGACCGACACUGACGCUGAGGCGCGAAAGCGUGGGGAGCAAACAGG